UCAUUAAUCUGGCCUAGAUAGAUAAUAUUUGAAGGAUGGUAAACAAAAACUAAUAUAACUUCUGCUACUACUCGAUCUAGACUAAGAACAUCAUGAGGGUAAUGACUCUAACAAGAAUAAAUGGUACCACCGAUCCAGCUAGGAGAAAGAGCUCAAUCAUAACAUCUGCUAAAAGUGCAUAUAAAAGCUUGUUGAAGUUUUGGAUUUGGCCUCGCAUCACAUCAUUCUUGACUUGCAUCUCAUCUAUAUGCUGCCUUAUUGGUUCAAUGGAGUAUCCAAGCAACUUGAUUACAUGCUAUUACACGAGAUCAACCCAUAUCCAUGUGUAACAAAACUUGAUCCCUCCUGUUUGUGGAUCACAAUAUAUAUGCACAUAAUGAUGUGAGCGACACUAGUUUUGAAUUGUUCAUUUUUUUGAAAUAGCUCGAGAGGUAUUUUCUAUCAUAUACCUUUCCACGGCCAGCGCAGAUGUAGAACUCUUGGUGUGGAUUCCAUUUUUUGUGCAAGAUAUUCGUAUCAAUAGGGCAUCGAAAGCCGCAAAGCAGCACGAGUUUUCUCGCCCAAAUCCUGCGAGCUUAGGUGUUGGUGGUUUAGCUGCUAGAUUGAAUAGACGUUACACUGGUAAAACGGGAUGAUUUGUCGGACAAGGCCAACCGCAUUGGCCGUUGCGAUCUCACGGCGUAGCCAACAGAUCUAGAGGGAAGGUUGGCCAAUGCGGCGGGCUCCCAACCUUUUGACACACUCCGUUGAUGUGGCCUCACACGCAGGUCUUGUGCCAAUUCAACAUGCUCUGGUGGGUUCAUUACCACCCAUGUAGCUAGCUAAGAGGGAACAACAAAAAUCUAAAAGGAGCUAGCUAGUUAGGGAGAAGAUUGUUGUGGAGAAUGAAAGCGAACGUGUUUGAUAAACAAGGGCCGCCAACACUCCUAUAU
RNAcentral lists this long non-coding RNA (932 nucleotides) under Hordeum vulgare. RNAcentral describes it as "long non-coding RNA (HVUL_LNC001888)". The record is from RNAcentral. Lineage: Eukaryota; Viridiplantae; Streptophyta; Magnoliopsida; Poales; Poaceae.